GCGAGGAGGGGGCCAGAGGGGGCGCUGUGGUGUCGGCGGUGGUGGCGGCGGAGAGCGCGGUGGCAGAGGGGGCGGAGGGUUUCGACAGCUGGUGGCGGCCGGCGGCGGGGGGCGGGGACGAAGGGGAGGCAGGUGGCGCUGGAGGAGUGGCGGGUCGUGGAGCAGACGGAGAGCUUAGCUGGCUUGAGCCGGAAGGAGGAGCGGCGGAGGUGACACGGAGUCACGUCUUCAGGUAGUCGGCGCCCAAACCAAGGUGGGGUCGGUCUGAGUUCUCGUACCAAAGAAGACGGUACUGUCAGUGACGGGGAGAGACGGUGUCGCAGUACGGAAAGGGCCGGUGACGAUCCCUGAGGAGCCGUGCGAGGGCUCACCCUUCCGGCCCGGAACGGCGACCGACGACGAGGCCAGGAUAGCGGCGGCGUCACUGGUUGCGCCGGGACCACCGGCUACGACGGGCGCAGCCAUGCUCCUCCACACUUGAGAAACUAGAGGUAGCCGUCUAUCAAGGAGAACAACUAAGUACCCCAACCGUCUUCAGGUAACAACUCUCCUCUUUUGGCAACCAUCCGUAUCUGUGCCUGUGUCUACUUCUAGUGAGCCUGUGGAAUUAGUGCGACGUCGUAGGUGGUCAAAUAUGUGACCCGUUGCCGUUAUCGCUCUUCAUGGAGUUAAAGUUAUAUCUUCUAAGAGGAUAACUCUAAGUAGCAUAACUAGCACCACCCCUCCACUGUAUAGUACCAGGACCUGUCGAGCAAGACAUGGGCUAAGAGUUAAACGCCAUAGUUUUCUUCCUAGAAUUGACCAUGGUUUCUAGUGAACUUUGACACUAGUAAGCACGGGAAGUCAGGCGUAAGAGAUAAUUCCGUAGUUGUUAUCUUCCGGAGUGACCGCAAACCCAACCCCUAGUCUUUCAACGUCGAUAACCUUAAUACACACGUUCUACCUAUCAUAUAGUACCAGAUCGCGAUUUACAGUGUUGACUGGAUUGGGGAAAACUUGUGUAACAAGGGACGCCGUAUUUCCCAGCACCGCAACCCUCGUAAUUCGUCUAUAACGUUUUCCGAAGGUUGCCAUCUCUUGUAUUGCUAAGUCUUGACUACCUAUAUCGAAUACUUAGUAACUGGUUUCUCAAACGGCUCAAAAAGGUUGAGAGAGACCUUGCGUCGGGACUAAACAUAGAAAUCGAUCUAUUGUAAUAGUUAGUUGACGUCUUACAAAAUAACCUAAUAGCCUUGAUCUGAGAUCGCUUCUUCAGUCUUUGUUUACGCUCGCCUAUCGUC
This 1280-nucleotide ribosomal RNA is filed under the name Triticum aestivum (bread wheat). Its description in RNAcentral is "partial small subunit ribosomal RNA". The record is from RNAcentral. Lineage: Eukaryota; Viridiplantae; Streptophyta; Magnoliopsida; Poales; Poaceae.